Molecule: ribosomal RNA, 456 nt
Filed under: uncultured bacterium
Lineage: Bacteria
Description: partial 16S ribosomal RNA
Rfam family: Bacterial small subunit ribosomal RNA
Source: RNAcentral
CUACGGGUUGCACCAGUAGGGAAUUUUGCGCAAUGGAGGAAACUCUGACGCAGCAACGCCAUGUGUGGGAUGACGCUUUUCGGAGUGUAAACCACUGUCGGCAGGGAAUAAACUAUGAUUUUAUCAUACUGAAGGUACCUGCAGUAGGAAGCACCGGCUAACUUCGUGCCAGCAGCCGCGGUAAUACGAGGGGUGCAAGUGUUGUUCGGAAUCACUGGGCGUAAAGGGAGCGUAGGCGGGAAAGCAAGUCAGGUGUUUAAUACUGGGGCCCAACUCCAGUGCCGCACUUGAAACUGCUUUUCUGGAAUAUGUCAGAGGUUGAUGGAAUUCUUGGUGGAGCGGUGGAAUGCGUAGAUAUCAAGAGGAACACCAGUGGCGAAAGCGGUCAACUGGGACAAUAUUGACGCUGAGGCUCGAAAGCGUGGGGAGCGAACAGGAUUAGAUACCCCAGUAGUC